RNAcentral lists this ribosomal RNA (402 nucleotides) under uncultured prokaryote. RNAcentral describes it as "bacterial SSU rRNA". It matches the Rfam family "Bacterial small subunit ribosomal RNA", at positions 355 to 774 of the family's 1533-position model. The record is from RNAcentral.
UGGGGAAUAUUGGACAAUGGGCGCAAGCCUGAUCCAGCCAUGCCGCGUGUGUGAUGAAGGCCUUAGGGUUGUAAAGCACUUUCGCCGGUGAAGAUAAUGACGGUAACCGGAGAAGAAGCCCCGGCUAACUUCGUGCCAGCAGCCGCGGUAAUACGAAGGGGGCAAGCGUUGCUCGGAAUCACUGGGCGUAAAGCGCACGUAGGCGGGUCGUUAAGUCAGGGGUGAAAUCCUGGAGCUCAACUCCAGAACUGCCUUGGAUACUGGCGACCUAGAGUUCGAGAGAGGUUGGUGGAACUGCGAGUGUAGAGGUGAAAUUCGUAGAUAUUCGCAAGAACACCAGUGGCGAAGGCGGCCAACUGGCUCGAUACUGACGCUGAGGUGCGAAAGCGUGGGGAGCAAACA